This 437-nucleotide ribosomal RNA is filed under the name uncultured bacterium. RNAcentral describes it as "partial 16S ribosomal RNA". It matches the Rfam family "Bacterial small subunit ribosomal RNA", at positions 29 to 507 of the family's 1533-position model. The record is from RNAcentral.
AGCGAACGCUAGCGGCAGGCUUAACACAUGCAAGUCGAGCGGGCAUCCUUGUGGUGUCAGCGGCAGACGGGUGAGUAACGCGUGGGAACGUGCCCUUCGGUUCGGAAUAACUCAGGGAAACUUGAGCUAAUACCGGAUACGUGCGAGAGCAGAAAGGUUUAUCUGCCGAAGGAUCGGCCCGCGUCUGAUUAGCUAGUUGGUGAGGUUACGGCUCACCAAGGCGACGAUCAGUAGCUGGUCUGAGAGGAUGAUCAGCCACACUGGGACUGAGACACGGCCCAGACUCCUACGGGAGGCAGCAGUGGGGAAUAUUGGACAAUGGGGGCAACCCUGAUCCAGCCAUGCCGCGUGAGUGAUGACGGCCUUAGGGUUGUAAAGCUCUUUUCUCCGGGACGAUAAUGACGGUACCGGAGGAAUAAGCCCCGGCUAACUUCGUG